AGCAUAUUGCAUCAAUGCAUAUAGUUAUAAUUCAUUAUUCAUGAUGCAUGAUCACGACUACUUGCUACACAUGUGCCUUAAUUGUGUUUUAAUACGUGAUCGAAUACUUUUCUUAAACAGUGAUAAUACAUGAUACAUGUUAUUGAACUUCUACUUUAUGAUUUAACAUUAACUUAAAUGAUUUAUUGUAGUGAGAAGUUAAGUUUCUCGCUAAACGGUGAUAUAUUUGUCUUAGAUGCAUUUCUGCAUUUUAAUUAUGUUUUAAUAUGAUUAAUUACAUAUGUAAUUAUUUGAAGUAACUCAUAUUAGACUAAAACCAAAAGUAUGCAAAAGGGUGCAUUUUGAUUGGUUGGUUGACUAGGUUGCACGAGACCAUUCUGAAAUUGUUUACACUUGAUUAUAAUGAGUAAGCAUCAGCCCAUAUCUUAUCUCAAGCUAUAAAAACGUGGAGGAACCACAAGAAUCCAGCAAAUACAAGCCUUCCAAUCACCAUCCUCCAUUUGGUCUUGUUGGGAAUGGGUAGAUAAGUGAAGACUUUGUGUUUUGGUCUUCAUUUUCACUUGUCUUCUUCCAAAAACGACCAGACCUAUUUCCUUAAUCUUGUCUUCAUAUUUCUUCACUUCCGUACUUACAUAAGAGAGCAUCAAACCAUAAAAACUCAUAGAAGUAGAGCUAGAACAAGUUCUGCACCUUUUCUAGCUGAAAAUCCUAUGUUUUGAAGUUGAAUUCAUCUCUAAUCAAGGCUUCUAGCACACCUUAUCUAAAACUGAUCCUUUCAUUUCAUAAACCAUUAUUGAUCUUGAGGUAAGUUGAAGCUUUCAUUUGCACAUCGUAGACCUAAUUAUGUGCGCUUUAAUGUGACUUUUGCUAUGUAUUCUCUAUGAUGUUUGAAUGAUUGAUGAGUCAUAGUGAUAUGAAAGAAUAUGUUUUGAAAAUGGGAGUAUGGUACUUGAUUGAUGGUCGAGUAGGCAAGGGACGCGGGAGGAACCGGCGGACCCAACACAUGGUGGCAAAUACCUGAGGUCGAAAGACCAGUAUGGAAAACCCACAAUUAAAGAAAUGAAAUACGGCUAAUACCUGAGGUCGAAAGGCCGGUAUGGAAACCCCCGUAUUAUCUAUUGGCCAAAUUUGAUGAACAGGUUCCAAAAAUCAAAGUCUAUUGCUAUCAGUCAAGUACCACACUUCAAGGGUACCCGAUAAAGAGAAGGAUUUCAAAGAAAAGGAUCACGAAUGAAGUUAUAGAUGUGAUAUUGUACUUAUUGAAUGGAUAAUGUGUUAUGUGAUUGAUAUAUUGCUAUUACAUCAGUUUCAACUUGCUGAGCCAUUAGCUCAUUAGGUUCUUAUGAUGCAGGUAAUGAUGUACAUGUUUAGAAGUUGACCUAGCCAAGAGCGGCUAGUCAGAUAUUUGUUCAUAUGCCAUGCUUCGAGCCAUUUUUGUAGCCGAGCAGAAACUCUGAUUUCAUUUUGUUAGCCGCUCUAUUAUGGUUUUUGUACAAUGUAAUUUUGUAAACAAUGAAUAUAUAUAUGUACGGAUUUUGAGAAAGUACUAAGUUUGAUUUCUUUUCAAAGCAUAUAACGUAUUUUUGUAUUAAAACCAUAAUGUUUAAGUAUAUAUAUAAAAAGCUUAGCAUCCCUAACUUAAUGGCGGUGAUCCGAUUGGAUUCUGCUGUUAGGUUGUGCGGUGUUACAUUUUUGGUAUCAGAGCGGAGGUUUAAAAUCUUUUCUGAAGACAGAAGAAGGCAUAUGAACAUACUUUGGCUGGGAAGCUAGGUUAGAUACGCACAUAAGUAAGUAUACAAAGGCAUACACAAAAUUACUCACGCAAAAGUGCAUUCGCAAAAAGGAUCAUGAAAACACAAACUACAAUCCUAGGACAUUAAUUGUAAUGCCCAACCAUCCAUACAUGGCCAAUAAAAAGCAUAUUGCAUCAAUGCAUAUAGUUAUAAUUCAUUAUUCAUGAUGCAUGAUCACGACUACUUGCUACACAUGUGCCUUAAUUGUGUUUUAAUACGUGAUCGAAUACUUUUCUUAAACAGUGAUAAUACAUGAUACAUGUUAUUGAACUUCUACUUUAUGAUUUAACAUUAACUUAAAUGAUUUAUUGUAGUGAGAAGUUAAGUUUCUCGCUAAACGGUGAUAUAUUUGUCUUAGAUGCAUUUCUGCAUUUUAAUUAUGUUUUAAUAUGAUUAAUUACAUAUGUAAUUAUUUGAAGUAACUCAUAUUAGACUAAAACCAAAAGUAUGCAAAAGGGUGCAUUUUGAUUGGUUGGUUGACUAGGUUGCACGAGACCAUUCUGAAAUUGUUUACACUUGAUUAUAAUGAGUAAGCAUCAGCCCAUAUCUUAUCUCAAGCUAUAAAAACGUGGAGGAACCACAAGAAUCCAGCAAAUACAAGCCUUCCAAUCACCAUCCUCCAUUUGGUCUUGUUGGGAAUGGGUAGAUAAGUGAAGACUUUGUGUUUUGGUCUUCAUUUUCACUUGUCUUCUUCCAAAAACGACCAGACCUAUUUCCUUAAUCUUGUCUUCAUAUUUCUUCACUUCCGUACUUACAUAAGAGAGCAUCAAACCAUAAAAAUCAUAGAAGUAGAGCUAGAACAAGUUCUGCCCCUUUUCUAGCUGAAAAUCCUAUGUUUUGAAGUUGAAUUCAUCUCUAAUCAAGGCUUCUAGCACACCUUAUCUAAGACUAAUCCUUUCAUUUCAUAAACCAUUAUUGAUCUUGAGGUAAGUUGAAG
RNAcentral lists this long non-coding RNA (2730 nucleotides) under Erythranthe guttata (spotted monkey flower). RNAcentral describes it as "long non-coding RNA (EGUT_LNC002572)". Lineage: Eukaryota; Viridiplantae; Streptophyta; Magnoliopsida; Lamiales; Phrymaceae. The record is from RNAcentral.